RNAcentral lists this ribosomal RNA (254 nucleotides) under uncultured bacterium. RNAcentral describes it as "partial 16S ribosomal RNA". It matches the Rfam family "Bacterial small subunit ribosomal RNA", at positions 524 to 776 of the family's 1533-position model. The record is from RNAcentral.
UACGUAGGGGGCAAGCGUUGUCCGGAUUUAUUGGGCGUAAAGAGCUCGUAGGCGGCUCACUAAGUCGGAUGUUAAAACUCCAGGCUCAACCUGGAGACGCCAUUCGAUACUGGUGUGGCUUGAGCUCGGUAGGGGAGCACGGAAUUCCUGGUGUAGCGGUGAAAUGCGCAGAUAUCAGGAGGAACACCGGUGGCGAAGGCGGUGCUCUGAGCCGAAACUGACGCUGAGGAGCGAAAGCGUGGGGAGCGAACAGG